AGUGAACGCUGGCGGUAUGCCUAACACAUGCAAGUCGAACGGCAGCACAGUAAGAGCUUGCUCUUACGGGUGGCGAGUGGCGGACGGGUGAGGCAUACAUCGGCAUCUACUUUUUCGUGGGGGAUAACGUAGGGAAACUUACGCUAAUACCGCAUACGACCUACGGGUGAAAGCAGGGGAUCUUCGGACCUUGCGCGAUUGAAUGAGCCGCUGUCGGAUUAGCUAGUUGGCGGGGUAAAGGCCCACCAGGGCGACGAUCCGUAGCUGGUCUGAGAGGUGGACCAGCCAAACUGGAACUGAGACACGGUCCAGACUCCUACGGGAGGCAGAGGUGGGGAAUAUUGGACAAUGGGCGCAAGCCUGAUCCAGCCAGACCGCGCGGGUGAAGAAGGCCUUCGGGUGGUAAAGCCCUUUUGUUGGGAAAGAAAAGCAGCAGGUUAAUACCCCGCUGUUCUGACGGUACCCAAAGAAUAAGCACCGGCUAACUUCGUG
This 492-nucleotide ribosomal RNA is filed under the name uncultured bacterium. RNAcentral describes it as "partial 16S ribosomal RNA". It matches the Rfam family "Bacterial small subunit ribosomal RNA", at positions 29 to 507 of the family's 1533-position model. The record is from RNAcentral.